This 77-nucleotide transfer RNA is filed under the name Candidatus Dormiibacterota bacterium. RNAcentral's name for it is "tRNA-Thr". It matches the Rfam family "tRNA". Rfam says of the family: Transfer RNA (tRNA) molecules are approximately 80 nucleotides in length. Their secondary structure includes four short double-helical elements and three loops (D, anti-codon, and T loops). Lineage: Bacteria; Bacillati; Candidatus Dormiibacterota. The record is from RNAcentral.
GCCGGCGUAGCUCAAUCCGGGAGAGCAGCCGCCUUGUAAGCGGAAGCGUGCAGGUUCAACUCCUGUCGCCGGCCCCA